GUAGGGGGCGAGCGUUAUCCGGAAUUAUUGGGCGUAAAGAGUGCGUAGGUGGCACCUUAAGCGCAGGGGUUUAAGGGCAAUGGGCUCAACCAUUGUUCGCCUUGCGAACUGGGGUGCUUGAGUGCAGGAGGGGAAAGUGGAAUUCCUAGUGUAGCGGUGAAAUGCGUAGAUAUUAGGAGGAACACCAGUGGCGAAGGCGACUUUCUGGACUGUUACUGACACUGAGCCACGAAAGCGUGGGGAGCAAACAGGAUUAGAUACCCUGGUAGUCCACGCCGUAAACGAUGAGCACUAGGUGUCGGGGUCGCAAGACUUCGGUGCCGCAGUUAACGCAUUAAGUGCUCCGCCUGGGGAGUACGCACGCAAGUGUA
This 371-nucleotide ribosomal RNA is filed under the name uncultured organism. RNAcentral's name for it is "partial 16S ribosomal RNA". It matches the Rfam family "Bacterial small subunit ribosomal RNA", at positions 527 to 896 of the family's 1533-position model. The record is from RNAcentral.